RNAcentral lists this ribosomal RNA (408 nucleotides) under uncultured bacterium. Its description in RNAcentral is "partial 16S ribosomal RNA". It matches the Rfam family "Bacterial small subunit ribosomal RNA", at positions 29 to 526 of the family's 1533-position model. The record is from RNAcentral.
AGUGAACGCUGGCGGCGUGCCUAAUACAUGCAAGUCGAACGAAGUGGCGCACGGGUGAGUAAUAUAAAGUUAAUCUACCCUACACCGAGGAACAACAGUUGGAAACGGCUGCUAAUACCUCAUAGUGUAGUAUGAGACUAUAUCGUAUCAGCUAGUUGGUAAGGUAAUGGCUUACCAAGGGUAUGACGCGUAACUGGUCUGCGAGGAUGAUCAGUAACAUUGGAACGGAGACACGGUCCAGACUCCUACGGGAGGGAGCAGUAAGGAAUAAUGCGCAAUGGGGGAAACCCUGACGCAGCAACGCCGCGUGGAGGAUGACACUUUUCGGAGCGUAAACUCCUUUUAUCAGGAAAGCGGUACCUGAUGAAUAAGCACCGGCUAACUCCGUGCCAGCAGCCGCGGUAAUAC